UUUUAUUUGCGUGAGGGAUAGUAGCGGCAUCCUUUUUUGCUUUAUAUAAGUGACUUUUCGGCUUUGAUAAAAAUGACAAGCAAAAAAGAUAUAGCGAAUAGCCCGACCCAAC
Mesonia phycicola is the source of this 112-nucleotide small RNA. It matches the Rfam family "Flavo-1 RNA". NCBI's taxonomy places the organism in Bacteria, Pseudomonadati, Bacteroidota, Flavobacteriia, Flavobacteriales, Flavobacteriaceae. The record is from Rfam.